This 207-nucleotide ribosomal RNA is filed under the name uncultured bacterium. RNAcentral describes it as "partial 16S ribosomal RNA". It matches the Rfam family "Bacterial small subunit ribosomal RNA", at positions 568 to 774 of the family's 1533-position model. The record is from RNAcentral.
CGUGUAGGCUGCAAUGUAAGUCAGAUGUGAAAGCCCUUGGCUCAACCAAGGAAGUGCAUCUGAUACUGCGUCGCUUGAGUGUCGGAGGGGGUGGCGGAAUUCCCGGUGUAGAGGUGAAAUUCGUAGAUAUCGGGAGGAACACCUGUGGCGAAGGCGGCCACCUGGACGACAACUGACGCUGAGACGCGAAAGCGUGGGUAGCAAACA